AGUGAACGCUGGCGGUAGGCCUAACACAUGCAAGUCGAACGGCAGCACAGUAAGAGCUUGCUCUUACGGGUGGCGAGUGGCGGACGGGUGAGGAAUACAUCGGAAUCUACUUUUUCGUGGGGGAUAACGUAGGGAAACUUACGCCAAUACCGCAUACGACCUACGGGUGAAAGCAUGGGAUCUUCGGACCUUGCGCGAUUGAAUGAGCCGAUGUCGGAUUAGCUAGUUGGCGGGGUAAAGGCCCACCAAGGCGACGAUCCGUAGCUGGUCUGAGAGGAUGAUCAGCCACACUGGAACUGAGACACGGUCCAGACUCCUACGGGAGGCAGCAGUGGGGAAUAUUGGACAAUGGGCGAAAGCCUGAUCCAGCCAUACCGCGUGGGUGAAGAAGGCCUUCGGGUUGUAAAGCCCUUUUGUUGGGAAAGAAAAGCAGCAGGUUAAUACCCCGCUGUUCUGACGGUACCAAAAGAAUAAGCACCGGCUAACUUCGUG
This 492-nucleotide ribosomal RNA is filed under the name uncultured bacterium. RNAcentral describes it as "partial 16S ribosomal RNA". It matches the Rfam family "Bacterial small subunit ribosomal RNA", at positions 29 to 507 of the family's 1533-position model. The record is from RNAcentral.